Molecule: long non-coding RNA, 436 nt
Organism: Oreochromis aureus
Lineage: Eukaryota; Metazoa; Chordata; Actinopteri; Cichliformes; Cichlidae
Exons: 2
Source: RefSeq, a predicted model, not a curated record
UCUGUCUGUGUCUCCAGGAAGGGGAGCCCCAUCUGCUGCCACACAGGGGGAUAAGAAGAAGAUGAAGAAGGAAAGAAAAUUGCACACAGCUUUUCCAAACUCCAUCCCACUUGAGUGUGACUCAGAGAAGCUGGUUUUGACACUGCCAGUGUGCUGCCUCAUCCAGUCGGUGACCUCGUGCGAUCCGGAUGUCCAGCUAGUUGACUCCAUGUUCUCUACCAACUGACUGCGGGUGGAAAUUUAAAGCCCCAGCCUCCCAGGUGGUCAAGUCUCUGCUGAUCAAACAGUUGCUGCAAGAUUCACAGUGUGAUGGAGGUACACUGAACAACUGCCAUCCCAUAUCAAACAUAGUUUCUUGCCAUUAACUCAUCAUAUCCUCUCCAUGGACGCCUCCCCCGAGUCGCCAUGCAUGUAAUAAAGACUGUGUCAUUCGGUG